GGUGAGUAACACGUGGGUAACCUGCCCAUCAGAAGGGGAUAACACUUGGAAACAGGUGCUAAUACCGUAUAACAAUCAAAACCGCAUGGUUUUGAUUUGAAAGGCGCUUUCGGGUGUCGCUGAUGGAUGGACCCGCGGUGCAUUAGCUAGUUGGUGAGGUAACGGCUCACCAAGGCCACGAUGCAUAGCCGACCUGAGAGGGUGAUCGGCCACAUUGGGACUGAGACACGGCCCAAACUCCUACGGGAGGCAGCAGUAGGGAAUCUUCGGCAAUGGACGAAAGUCUGACCGAGCAACGCCGCGUGAGUGAAGAAGGUUUUCGGAUCGUAAAACUCUGUUGUUAGAGAAGAACAAGGAUGAGAGUAACUGUUCAUCCCUUGACGGUAUCUAACCAGAAAGCCACGGCUAACUACGUGCCAGCAGCCGCGGUAAUACGUAGGUGGCAAGCGUUGUCCGGAUUUAUUGGGCGUAAAGCGAGCGCAGGCGGUUUCUUAAGUCUGAUGUGAAAGCCCCCGGCUCAACCGGGGAGGGUCAUUGGAAACUGGGAGACUUGAGUGCAGAAGAGGAGAGUGGAAUUCCAUGUGUAGCGGUGAAAUGCGUAGAUAUAUGGAGGAACACCAGUGGCGAAGGCGGCUCUCUGGUCUGUAACUGACGCUGAGGCUCGAAAGCGUGGGGAGCAAACAGGAUUAGAUACCCUGGUAGUCCACGCCGU
Molecule: ribosomal RNA, 712 nt
Filed under: Enterococcus sp. FBPers-10_02-03
Lineage: Bacteria; Bacillati; Bacillota; Bacilli; Lactobacillales; Enterococcaceae
Description: bacterial SSU rRNA
Rfam family: Bacterial small subunit ribosomal RNA
Source: RNAcentral